RNAcentral lists this ribosomal RNA (774 nucleotides) under uncultured bacterium. RNAcentral's name for it is "bacterial SSU rRNA". It matches the Rfam family "Bacterial small subunit ribosomal RNA", at positions 8 to 796 of the family's 1533-position model. The record is from RNAcentral.
AGAGUUUGAUCCUGGCUCAGGACGAACGCUGGCGGCGUGCUUAACACAUGCAAGUCGAACGGUGAACCUGCUUCGGUGGGGGAUCAGUGGCGAACGGGUGAGUAACACGUGGGCAACCUGCCCCUGGCUCUGGGAUAACUCCAAGAAAUUGGGGCUAAUACCGGAUAUGACCGCUGACCGCAUGGUCUGGUGGUGGAAAGAUUUAUCGGCUGGGGAUGGGCCCGCGGCCUAUCAGCUUGUUGGUGGGGUAGUGGCCUACCAAGGCGACGACGGGUAGCCGGCCUGAGAGGGUGACCGGCCACACUGGGACUGAGACACGGCCCAGACUCCUACGGGAGGCAGCAGUGGGGAAUAUUGCGCAAUGGGCGAAAGCCUGACGCAGCGACGCCGCGUGGGGGGUGACGGCCUUCGGGUUGUAAACCUCUUUCAGCAGGGACGAAGCGGAAGUGACGGUACCUGCAGAAGAAGCACCGGCCAACUACGUGCCAGCAGCCGCGGUAAUACGUAGGGUGCAAGCGUUGUCCGGAAUUAUUGGGCGUAAAGAGCUCGUAGGCGGUUCGUCGCGUCGGCUGUGAAAUCCCGAGGCUCAACCUCGGGUCUGCAGUCGAUACGGGCGGACUUGAGUUCGGCAGGGGAGACUGGAAUUCCUGGUGUAGCGGUGAAAUGCGCAGAUAUCAGGAGGAACACCGGUGGCGAAGGCGGGUCUCUGGGCCGAUACUGACGCUGAGGAGCGAAAGCGUGGGGAGCGAACAGGAUUAGAUACCCUAGUAGUCC